CAUGUACCCGCCGCACCCUCUCACGGCGCAGUACGGGGUGAAAGUCCUGCGGUCCUUCCCUCCGGACGCCAUCCUCUUCUACAUCCCCCAGAUUGUGCAGGCCCUCAGGUACGACAAGGUAAGCCUGCACCUGCAUGGCCGUCCUCUUCACUCACAGAGUGUGUUCCACACCAGCUUGUGCCCGGUCUGUCCCCAGCCCUCACAGGCUCCUCAGAGCCUCCUCAGGGGCAGGGCUGCCCAGCAGUCCCCUUGCUCCCCCUACCCCAGGCCCUGUGAUUGUCCCUUGAUAC
RNAcentral lists this long non-coding RNA (290 nucleotides) under Homo sapiens (human). Its description in RNAcentral is "non-protein coding lnc-KLHL22-3:1". Lineage: Eukaryota; Metazoa; Chordata; Mammalia; Primates; Hominidae. The record is from RNAcentral.